CGCACAUUGCGCCCCUUGGUAUUCCGAGGGGCAUGCCUGUUCGAGCGUCAUUACAAUCCUCAAGCCUGGCUUGGUAUUGAGCUACGCUACUUACCUAGCGGGCUUUAAAAUCAGUGGCGGUGCUGUCGAGGCCCUGAGCGUAGUAAAUCUCCUCGCUAUAGGGACCCGGCGGCUACCGGUCAUAACCCCCCAACUUUCUAAGUUUGACCUCGGAUCAGGUAGGGAUACCCGCUGAACUUAA
RNAcentral lists this unclassified non-coding RNA (241 nucleotides) under Helotiales sp. Its description in RNAcentral is "partial contains 5.8S ribosomal RNA, internal transcribed spacer 2, and large subunit ribosomal RNA". Lineage: Eukaryota; Fungi; Ascomycota; Leotiomycetes; Helotiales. The record is from RNAcentral.